CUCAACCGUGAAGACGCACUGGAAACUAUGUGGCUUGAGUCCAAGAGGGGGAGCUGGAAUUCCAGGUGUAGGGGUGAAAUCUGUAGAUAUCUGGAAGAACACCGGAGGCGAAGGCGAGCUCCUGGCUAUGGACUGACGCUGAGGCGCGAAAGCGUGGGGAGCGAACAGGAUUAGAUACCCUGGUAGUCCACGCUGUAAACGUUGUGCACUGGGUGUUGGCCUUGAAAGGUCAGUACCGUAGCAAACGCGAUAAGUGCACCGCCUGGGGAGUAUGCCCGCAAGGGUGAAACUCAAAGGAAUUGACGGGGGCCCGCACAAGCGGUGGAGCAUGUGGUUUAAUUCGAUGAUACGCGAGAAACCUUACCAGGGCUUGACAUCUAUCUGACGGCCAUAGAGAUAUGGCCUCCCUUCGGGGCAG
RNAcentral lists this ribosomal RNA (418 nucleotides) under uncultured bacterium. RNAcentral's name for it is "bacterial SSU rRNA". It matches the Rfam family "Bacterial small subunit ribosomal RNA", at positions 608 to 1029 of the family's 1533-position model. The record is from RNAcentral.